This 497-nucleotide ribosomal RNA is filed under the name uncultured bacterium. Its description in RNAcentral is "partial 16S ribosomal RNA". It matches the Rfam family "Bacterial small subunit ribosomal RNA", at positions 28 to 507 of the family's 1533-position model. The record is from RNAcentral.
GAUGAACGCUGGCGGCGUGCCUAAUACAUGCAAGUCGAGCGAACAGAUAAGGAGCUUGCUCCUUUGACGUUAGCGGCGGACGGGUGAGUAACACGUGGGUAACCUACCUAUAAGACUGGAAUAACUCCGGGAAACCGGGGCUAAUGCCGGAUAACAUUUAGAACCGCAUGGUUCUAAAGUGAAAGAUGGUUUUGCUAUCACUUAUAGAUGGACCCGCGCCGUAUUAGCUGGUUGGUAAGGUAACGGCUUACCAAGGCAACGAUACGUAGCCGACCUGAGAGGGUGGUCGGCGACACUGGAAGGGAGACGCGGUCGAGACUCCUGGGGGAGGCAGCAGUAGGGAAUGUGCCGCAAUGGGCGAAAGCCUGACGGAGCAGCGCCGCGUGAGUGAUGAAGGUCUUCGGAUCGUAAAACUCUGUUAUGAGGGAAGAACAAAUGUGUAAGUAACUGUGCACGUCUUGACGGUACCUAAUCAGAAAGCCACGGCUAACUACGUG